CUUCAUCUAUUUGUUGUGGACAAAUAAAAUGUAUAUGGGCGUCGAUACCGCCUGCGGUCAGUAUUUGUCCUUCGCCGGCUAUAACCUCGGUGCCGGGACCCACUUCAAUAUCGAUAUUGUCUUGAAUAUCAGGAUUGCCUGCUUUACCUAUAAUAGCGAUACGACCUUCUUUAAUACCAACAUCAGCUUUAAUAAUUCCCCAGUGAUCAAGAAUAACGGCGUUGGUAAUCACUAAAUCAACGGUUUCAAAGCAUGAUGCUUGGCUUUGUCCCAUGCCAUCUCUAAUG
This 287-nucleotide small RNA is filed under the name Colwellia sp. PAMC 20917. RNAcentral describes it as "5' ureB small RNA". It matches the Rfam family "5' ureB small RNA". Lineage: Bacteria; Pseudomonadati; Pseudomonadota; Gammaproteobacteria; Alteromonadales; Colwelliaceae. The record is from Rfam by way of RNAcentral.